RNAcentral lists this ribosomal RNA (253 nucleotides) under uncultured bacterium. RNAcentral describes it as "partial 16S ribosomal RNA". It matches the Rfam family "Bacterial small subunit ribosomal RNA", at positions 524 to 776 of the family's 1533-position model. The record is from RNAcentral.
UACGUAGGGUGCAAACGUUGUCCGGAUUUAUUGGGCGUAAAGAGCUCGUAGGCGGUUUGUCGCGUCUGCUGUGAAAACUCGGGGCUUAACCCCGGGCCUGCAGUGGGUACGGGCAGACUAGAGUGCGGUAGGGGAGACUGGAAUUCCUGGUGUAGCGGUGAAAUGCGCAGAUAUCAGGAAGAACACCAAUGGCGAAAGCAGCUUUCUGGGACGGUACUGACGCUGAGACGCGAAAGCGUGGGGAGCGAACAGG